AUGUCUAGUACCCAAAGUUAAUAGUUAUUUUAUGUAUGUUGAAGCUAUGCAGGUACUAUCUCAGUGAUAUUAGCUAAAGAUGGUACUAAAGUGAUAACAUAUGAAAAUCAGAAGGCGCUAAAAUGAUUUAUCUUAUUUAUUUCUUAAAACAAAAGCCCCCAAAGUGCAGAAGUUUUAAAUUACAGAGUAAUUUUUUCAACUUUUCCACUUUUUAAUCAUAUUUGAUGAGCAAAAAUUAAUCUGUGAACAUUACAGGAUCAACAAGCAUUACCAACAGGUUAAAAUUAUCUGUGCAUCCCUUGGCCAUGGAAUAUAAAAAAUCAUCGCACUUCAACAGAUCUUUGACACAUAUAGAGGUCAG
RNAcentral lists this unclassified non-coding RNA (361 nucleotides) under Hevea brasiliensis (rubber tree). The record is from RNAcentral. Lineage: Eukaryota; Viridiplantae; Streptophyta; Magnoliopsida; Malpighiales; Euphorbiaceae.